CACCUACUCCCUCCGUUCUAAAUUACUCGUCGCAGAAAUGGAUGUAUCUAGAACUAAAAUACAUCUAGAUACAUCCAUUUCUGCGACGAGUAAUUCGGAACAGAGGGAGUAGAAU
Molecule: non-coding RNA, 115 nt
Organism: Triticum urartu
Lineage: Eukaryota; Viridiplantae; Streptophyta; Magnoliopsida; Poales; Poaceae
Source: Rfam